GGAAUGUGACUUAAGCGGUAGAGUGCUCGUCUGGCAUGCGUGCGGCCCGGGUUCCAUCCUCAGCACCA
Molecule: transfer RNA, 68 nt
Filed under: Marmota monax (woodchuck)
Lineage: Eukaryota; Metazoa; Chordata; Mammalia; Rodentia; Sciuridae
Description: tRNA.Ala
Source: RNAcentral